CGCGUAGGUGGUAGUGUAAGUCUGGGGUGGAAUCCCAGGGCUUAACCCUGGAACUGCCUUGGAAACUGUAUUACUUGAGUCAGUGAGGGGAGGGUAGAAUUCCUGGUGUAGCGGUGAAAUGCGUAGAUAUCAGGAGGAAGGCCUGUGGCGAAGGCGGCCCUCUGGCGCUGGACUGACACUGAGGCGCGAAAGCGUGGGGAGCAAACGGGAUUAGAUACCCUGGUAGUCCACGCCCUAAACGGUGGGCACUAGGUGUAGGGCUCGUAAGGGUUCUGUGCCGAAGGGAAACCAUUAAGUGCCCCGCCUGGGGAGUACGGCCGCAAGGUUGAA
RNAcentral lists this ribosomal RNA (330 nucleotides) under uncultured bacterium. RNAcentral describes it as "bacterial SSU rRNA". It matches the Rfam family "Bacterial small subunit ribosomal RNA", at positions 568 to 898 of the family's 1533-position model. The record is from RNAcentral.